UGCUCCAUGGUUAGGUUGGGUAGACUAGUUGAAGUUGAUAGUGAUCAAAUCGAGGCAGUAAUUGAGAACAAUCAAUGUUCUCCCAUGUGGGAGAUAGGCGACAUAGUCAAUGUCCAAAUCAACAAAGUUAUUGGUAAAAAUGAAAAAUGUGUCUUCUAUUUUAUGGAAAAAA
This is a long non-coding RNA of Phyllostomus discolor (pale spear-nosed bat), 172 nucleotides long. RefSeq lists it as uncharacterized. NCBI's taxonomy places the organism in Eukaryota, Metazoa, Chordata, Mammalia, Chiroptera, Phyllostomidae. The transcript is spliced from 3 exons. The record is from RefSeq and is a predicted model, not a curated record.